GAUGAAGAACGUAGCGAAAUGCGAUAAGUAAUGCGAAUUGCAGAAUUCCGUGAGUCAUCGAAUCUUUGAACGCACAUUGCGCCCUCUGGUAUUCCGGAGGGCAUGCCUGUCUGAGCGUCAUUGUCAACCCUCAAGCUCAGCUUGCUGUUGGGUCCCCGUCGUUGCUUUAACGGCGGACCCGAAAGGUAAUGGCAGAGUCCGUGAGACCCUAGACGCAGCGAGCUUCUAGCACGCGUCUGGACGUUUUUCGGGCUCGGUCUUAACUAGAUGAUAACUUCCGAUUGACCUCAGAUCAGGUAGGGAUACCCGCUGAACUUAAGCAUAUCAAUAACGGAGGA
This 338-nucleotide unclassified non-coding RNA is filed under the name soil metagenome. Its description in RNAcentral is "partial contains 5.8S ribosomal RNA, internal transcribed spacer 2, and large subunit ribosomal RNA". The stretch from base 1 to 120 matches the Rfam family "5.8S ribosomal RNA", at positions 35 to 154 of the family's 154-position model. The record is from RNAcentral.